AUGGCCAAGUUCAUUCGCAACUUCAUGGAGAAGGCCCUGAUGCUGAUGACCGCUGCCGCGACUUACCCGAAGCCUCGAUUGGCCACAUUUUGGCUAUGCCAAGGUUGAGCUAGUUCUCCCCGAGCCCUGCUGAAAUCCCUAUAGCUAUUCAGAGCAUGAAAAAAAAUAUCAAAGUGCUAAAACUGGUAGCUUCAAACACCUUUCGGUUAAGGAAGCUGUGCUGGACAGUUUGGUGGCCACUGAGGUGUGGAUGUGGUUUUAUAUCUGAGAGAUCAUAGGCAAACACGGCAUUGUUGGCUAUGAGGUUUGAAGACCAAUCUUUAACUUCUGAUUUGAGUUUUUAUUUGAAUGUUCUUGGACCAUGUAUAAUGAGACUGCUGUCUGAAUAA
Molecule: long non-coding RNA, 389 nt
Filed under: Mus musculus (house mouse)
Lineage: Eukaryota; Metazoa; Chordata; Mammalia; Rodentia; Muridae
Description: long non-coding RNA chr11:45813603-45813992
Source: RNAcentral